This 115-nucleotide ribosomal RNA is filed under the name Escherichia coli. Lineage: Bacteria; Pseudomonadati; Pseudomonadota; Gammaproteobacteria; Enterobacterales; Enterobacteriaceae. The record is from RNAcentral.
UGGCGGCAGUAGCGCGGUGGUCCCACCUGACCCCAUGCCGAACUCAGAAGUGAAACGCCGUAGCGCCGAUGGUAGUGUGGGGUCUCCCCAUGCGAAAGCAGGUCAUAGUGAUCCG